AGCGAACGCUGGCGGCAGGCCUAACACAUGCAAGUCGAACGGAUCCUUCGGGAUUAGUGGCGGACGGGUGAGUAACACGUGGGAACGUGCCCUUUGGUUCGGAACAACUCAGGGAAACUUGAGCUAAUACCGGAUGUGCCCUUCGGGGGAAAGAUUUAUCGCCAUUGGAGCGGCCCGCGUCUGAUUAGCUAGUUGGUGAGGUAACGGCCCACCAAGGCGACGAUCAGUAGCUGGUCUGAGAGGAUGAUCAGCCACACUGGGACUGAGACACGGCCCAGACUCCUACGGGAGGCAGCAGUGGGGAACCUUGCGCAAUGGGCGAAAGCCUGACGCAGCCAUGCCGCGUGAAUGAUGAAGGUCUUAGGAUUGUAAAAUUCUUUCAGCGGGGACGAUAAUGACGGUACCCGCAGAAGAAGCUCCGGCUAACUUCGUG
Molecule: ribosomal RNA, 433 nt
Filed under: uncultured bacterium
Lineage: Bacteria
Description: partial 16S ribosomal RNA
Rfam family: Bacterial small subunit ribosomal RNA
Source: RNAcentral